UACGGAGGCCCCAAGCGUUGUUCGGAUUUAUUGGGCGUAAAGGGUGCGUAGGCGGCGUGGUAAGUCUGGUGUGAAAGGCGGGGGCUCAACCCUCGGACUGCAUUGGAUACUGCCAUGCUAGAGGACUGGAGAGGAGAAUGGAAUUCACGGUGGAGCAGUGAAAUGCGUAGAUAUCGUGAGGAAGGCCAGUGGCGAAGGCGAUUCUCUGGACAGUAACUGACGCUGAGGCACGAAGGCUGGGGGAGCGAACAGG
RNAcentral lists this ribosomal RNA (253 nucleotides) under uncultured bacterium. RNAcentral's name for it is "partial 16S ribosomal RNA". It matches the Rfam family "Bacterial small subunit ribosomal RNA", at positions 524 to 776 of the family's 1533-position model. The record is from RNAcentral.